CAUAUUCACAGCAUUGUUAACAGUAUUUAUUAAAAUGUGCAAGGGGAGAAAACAGGAAGGUUCAGGCUGAUGGGGUGAAGAAGCAGCACGGUCCCUGGAAGGCAGCCAGAAAUGGGUGAGCUUUUGGAGGGCCUUCUUGUUCAGAGGGGCAGGGGAUGAAGAGCCACAGGCUGGGGUCAGUCCUCAGGUGAGGGAUUACACCCACAUAGGGGAGCUUAGCAUUUAAUACAGAAAUAGGAAGGAUAACCUCGGCUUCCUGAAUUUUACAGGGAACUUUAGUAUGGACUGGGGGAAAGUGACAUCUAGUGUUAGCUGAAAAUAAUCCAAAGUCGACUAUUCAAAACUACAGUCAUGACAACAUGCGGUAACCAGCUGGACAACAAUGACAAGUACACACCAGUUCAAGGUCCAUUUUCCAUUAAAUCCUGAGUGCAUUUUUCCUCCAAAAGCAUGUUUUCCACCUUCCUUGUUGUGUCUCACUCAACAAAAAUACCUCUAGAACUAAUUAAAGAGUGAGUUUCUGAGGGAUUUGGAAUCAGAUACAAAGUGACCUUCGGAACCCAAGCACACAUUCCACAGGUGAGAAGCCAGAGCCAGAGAGGAUGGUGGUUCCCGAAGCCGGGGUUCUCUGAGUUCCCUGGAACCCUGAUCUCCCUCCUUCCUUCUCCAUUUCCACGAGCACCUGCCUGUGUCCGCCCCAUGCCCAGCAGCGCAGGAGCUAGGGGUGCGCAGCAGAGCCUGAGAGCAGCUCCUCUUUGGGGUCCCUCGUGUGCCUGCUGUCACAUGCUACAUGAGCUAACAGGAAAGCCAGAAAAUCACACUGCUUAGUAAGUCUAUCCUGAAUAUACCCAUUUAGUAAAUAGGAGGCCUGCGAUGCAAACACACCCUCUGUCACCGAGAACUGCAAUGCCAGCCCCUCUGCCAACUCACUCAGAGCCUCAUGGGGUAUCUUGAGAAGCAGAUCUAAAUUAAAACUGAAGCUUAAAUGCCUUGUCUACAGUCAUCAUCCAUAAAGAUAUCCAGAGACAAGAAGCUGUUGCUCCACAUACACCAUUCAGAAAACAAGGCAAUUUUAACAUCCCAUGUUGGAAAAAAACAAAAACAAAAACAAGGCACACUUUUCUUAAUUGGACCUCAUUCAAAUAUUUACUGGGGAACAUGUCUCCAUGUCUCCUGGUAAAGUCAGGUAACUGCCUGCUUUGUAAUGCAUGGAUUUUGCUUAUGAUGUCAUAGACGUCAAUAGAAAUUCUACAGUUGAAAUUAAAGAUGAGUCAGCAAGGAUGAGAAACAUAACCAAAGCAUAGAAGGAAUGGGGAACCUUCUUAGGAGCUCAGAUGCUUCAUUCAUCUCAUGCAGCAAUUCACAUCUGUAAACAGAUGAUUAGGUGGUGCCCUUACCCCACAUGCACCUUUAAAAUGACCUAACGUGCUUUCCCCCUUCAGUGGGCAAGCUCAUCACAUAAAUGGGCAUGUUCCCGGCUCAUGCCAAUAAUUCUUCCAGCGCCCCAGACUGAAGAAGUGUUGUCAUUUAAAAGCAGCAAAUGUGCUGUAAACAUCAACCAAUAGUAGUCUUUGAAGCUACAAGCAAGACACACUUCGCACAUUGUACUGAGGUUGUCUGCCAGUGGGAUUUUACCCCUCAAAUCCAGGUAUGGUCAGAGACAGAGCUCCAUGAACUCACUUAACUUAGAAAAAAACAUCGGGAACAGGCACUUGAAAGGGGAAACAAAACAGGUCUGUUACCGAACAGGAGACCUUCAAACGUGGCCAAAUUCCAUGAUUCAAACAAGCAGUCAUGAUAAAGAAUGUGUAUAGUUUUGACUUCAGAUAGAAAAAAUAUAACUAGAAAUAUAAGAUUUAGAAAAGACUUUCAUCUUUUUCUAGUUAAAAGCACCAAGUUCUCUUAACUGAAAUGAUUAAAUAAUUACACAAGUUGAAUAAUAUUGUGCAGUUAUGGUAAGAAAAUAAUUCUGCCAUUAAGUAAGGAUGACAUUGUAUACUAAGAACAUUCAUGUUUUCAAGACAAACCUGCCAACACCAAUACUUAACAGAUUCGUUUUAAAUACAUAAGAAUCUGAGCUAACAUGACCAUGCACUGGUGUCUAAGGUAGGCUUAGCACAUACCUAAUUACUUAUGACUGCAAAGUUAGGAGUCUUGCUCUUAAAAUGCUCCAUCUUAUUGUAAUACUUGGCCUCCAACGCUAAAAAAAAAGUUUCUUUCAAUACAAUUCAGACAGGCUGUUUCAAAUAAUCAAGGUCCUUAUUAGAAAGAAAGCGCCAAUCACAUCUUGUAGCAAACAGGUGAGCAGAGGCCACUCUUGACUGGAAAACAUCAAAUUUAGCACCUUAAUUAAUACUGAGCGCAAAGGAGAGCAUUUACUAGAAUACGCGCAGUUGCUUUAUUUGUUGACGUUAUUGCCAAUAACUCAUCAAGUGGGUCAAUCAUGAAGUAUGAUGAAUCCACUUCAACGCUUCCGCUAUAAUUACAAUGAUUAAAAGCAAGAAUUGCUUUGCUCGAAUGUCUGGAGAAAAAUGCACAAUCCCUAACCGUGGGAGGGCAUCAUUAUAAAGCUGAAGGCAGUGACCAGACGGAAAGCCUGUGAUUCCACAGCGCCUGCAGUUUUUACUGCGGUUUAUUUCCAGUCCACAGCCUCGAAGCCAUGGGUUCUCCCCGGCCCUCUGAAGCCGCCACACCUGUGCCAGCCGGCCGCGUCCUCAGACCUUUCCCCGCGGAGUCUUCCCAGCACUUGGAGACGCAGCGCAGGGCCCCGAGGACGGCCUGGCCCGGAGAAAAGAUACCGAAGCUCCAACUUUCCCCAACCCCGCUCCCCUCCUCCUUCCACCCUCCCUUCCCGCCCCCAAAGCUCGGGGGUCCUAUCCCUCCUCCGGUCCGCGGAGUCUCCCGAACCCUGCGGGGACCCGGCGCUCGGCGGUGCCCUCCUGGGGCGCACGGGGCUGGGGCGGGAGCGAGGAGACCAGGUGGGGAGGGGACCCCAGAUCUCAGACGCCAGGGGAGACGGCGUUUCCCGCUGUUCAUUCAGGUUUGUGCCAAAAGGAGCCUCACAGAUGCAGUAUUGGGUUUGGUAGACUCAAAUCGUCUUGUUUUAAUGUAAAUGAAAGUAAGUUUAGGAUAAAUUCCAGUGCGGCGGGGGCAGGCAAGGCUACCCACAUUUUUUAAAAAGAAGCCAGCCCGUAUUUUUCUCCCUUUCCAAAUCCUCCGCCCCCCAGUCCUUCGACCCAGGCACGAGCGCCCAUCGCGGAGGCCACGAUGCCCGUUUUAUUCCCUCUCCACGGCAAGGAAAAGCAGCGAAAUCUGAGGUCUUCAGAGGUUAACCCUAUCUAGGAGCAGAAUGUGACGCAUUGUAAACAAAUAAAUAUUGAAAACUCGAUGUUAAACACUUUA
This 3402-nucleotide long non-coding RNA is filed under the name Homo sapiens (human). RNAcentral's name for it is "HSALNT0299818". Lineage: Eukaryota; Metazoa; Chordata; Mammalia; Primates; Hominidae. The record is from RNAcentral.